This 301-nucleotide ribosomal RNA is filed under the name uncultured bacterium. RNAcentral's name for it is "partial 16S ribosomal RNA". It matches the Rfam family "Bacterial small subunit ribosomal RNA", at positions 509 to 807 of the family's 1533-position model. The record is from RNAcentral.
CAGUAGCCGCGGGAAUACGAAGGGGGCUAGCGUUGUUCGGAUUUACUGGGCGUAAAGGGCGCGUAGGCGGACUGAUAAGUCAGGGGUGAAAUCCCAAGGCUCAACCUUGGAACUGCCUUUGAUACUGUUUGUCUUGAGUUCGAGAGAGGUAAGUGGAACUGCGAGUGUAGAGGUGAAAUUCGUAGAUAUUCGCAAGAACACCAGUGGCGAAGGCGGCUUACUGGCUCGAAACUGACGCUGAGGCGCGAAAGCGUGGGGAGCAAACAGGAUUAGAUACCCCAGUAGUCCCUGUCUCUUAUAC